GGUCAGGAAAUGGACAAUGCAGGAAAAGAAUAUAUCAUAAACCCAAUUCCUUUUUUUUACCAUCCGAAGAAAGUUGAUGGUCAGGAAAUGGACAAUGCAGGAAAAGAAAAUGUUAUAAACCCAAUUCCUUUUUUCUACCAUACGAAGAAAGUUGAUGGUCAGGAAAUGGAUAAUACA
Molecule: long non-coding RNA, 177 nt
Organism: Hibiscus syriacus
Lineage: Eukaryota; Viridiplantae; Streptophyta; Magnoliopsida; Malvales; Malvaceae
Exons: 3
Source: RefSeq, a predicted model, not a curated record